This 755-nucleotide long non-coding RNA is filed under the name Ananas comosus (pineapple). RNAcentral describes it as "long non-coding RNA (ACOM_LNC031646)". Lineage: Eukaryota; Viridiplantae; Streptophyta; Magnoliopsida; Poales; Bromeliaceae. The record is from RNAcentral.
ACUAAAACUUUGGGUUGCAAUGUCAACUUUGCUCUGGAAGAUCAAAGUAGAGUUUGAAUUGGAUGUGCAUCAUUCCCGAGUUAUUUUGGAUGUGUAGGAAUAAUUUCUGGAGGUAAUUGAAUGUUUGACGCUGUAACGACCCAGCCCACUAGCAACAAUAACUCGUAGGGCCCAACCACCGGCCCAAAAUGCUUAAGCUUAGUUAUUAUUACUAGUGUCUAAGUCUCUUAUAAACCCAAUGACAAUCCCUUUUCCAUCCGAUGUGGGACUAUUGGGGUGUCACAGACUCCCUCCGUUAAGGCCCUGACGUCCUCGUCAGUCCAAUCACACACACAGCCCAAGAUCACCAGGCGAUGUGAGACUCGUCUCGCUAGCCCGUCAUCUAGACCUUGGCUCAGCCGAGACUCGCCACACAUGUCCAGCUGGUAAACCGGCUCUGAUACCAAAUGUAACGACCCAGCCCACUAGCAACAAUAACUCGUUGGACCCAACCACCGGCCCAAAAUGCUUAAGCCCAGUUAUUAUUACUAGUGUCUAAGUCUCUUAUAAACCCAAUGACAACCCCUUUUCCAUCCGAUGUGGGACUAUUGGGGUGUCACAGACGCUAAUCGGGCGCGAAACGAAUUCAAAAGAUUCUAUUGCUCAAAGAGGAGCGAUAAUGUGAUUUGUGAUGCUCCCGAGUUAAAUUGGAGUCUUGGGGAUAGUUAGUUAUGAGUUUGGAAGUGUUUGGAAGUGUUUGGAGCAAAGUAGAAGUG